UACGUAGGGUCCGAGCGUUGUCCGGAGUUACUGGGCGUAAAGCGCGCGCAGGCGGCGGUGCUGGCCCGGCGUGAAAGCCCCCGGCUCAACUGGGGAGGGUCACGCGAUACUGAUCGACUGGAAGGCAGGAGAGGGUAGUGGAAUUCCCGGUGUAGUGGUGAAAUGCGUAGAUAUCGGGAGGAACACCAGUGGCGAAGGCGACUACCUGGCCUGUUCUUGACGCUGAGGCGCGAAAGCUAGGGGAGCAAACGGG
Molecule: ribosomal RNA, 253 nt
Filed under: uncultured bacterium
Lineage: Bacteria
Description: partial 16S ribosomal RNA
Rfam family: Bacterial small subunit ribosomal RNA
Source: RNAcentral